RNAcentral lists this ribosomal RNA (456 nucleotides) under uncultured organism. RNAcentral describes it as "partial 16S ribosomal RNA". It matches the Rfam family "Bacterial small subunit ribosomal RNA", at positions 329 to 801 of the family's 1533-position model. The record is from RNAcentral.
ACGUACACUCCUGCGGGAGGCAGCAGUGGGGAAUAUUGGACAAUGGGCGCAAGCCUGAUCCAGCCAUGCCGCGUGAGUGAUGAAGGCCCUAGGGUUGUAAAGCUCUUUCACCGGUGAAGAUAAUGACGGUAACCGGACAAGAAGCCCCGGCUAACUUCGUGCCAGCAGCCGCGGUAAUACGAAGGGGGCUAGCGUUGUUCGGAUUUACUGGGCGUAAAGCGCACGUAGGCGGACUAUUAAGUCAGGGGUGAAAUCCCGGGGCUCAACCCCGGAACUGCCUUUGAUACUGGUAGUCUUGAGUUCGAGAGAGGUGAGUGGAAUUCCGAGUGUAGAGGUGAAAUUCGUAGAUAUUCGGAGGAACACCAGUGGCGAAGGCGGCUCACUGGCGCGAUACUGACGCUGAGGUGCGAAAGCGUGGGGAGCAAACAGGAUUAGAAACCCUGGUAGUCCCAUGAU